This 1933-nucleotide long non-coding RNA is filed under the name Homo sapiens (human). RNAcentral's name for it is "HSALNT0131840". Lineage: Eukaryota; Metazoa; Chordata; Mammalia; Primates; Hominidae. The record is from RNAcentral.
CAGUGUAGAAAAGAAGACAAGAAUUCUAGGGUAAAGCAAUCCUGUUAAACACACAAGGACAAAUGGGAGAACAUGAUUUUUGAGAGAUCUGUGAGCAGCUGGGUGUGGCUAAAACCUAAAGGGUCCUGACUGUAGAUGAGGAGAAGAAAGAAGACGGAGAAGGAAAAUGGAUUCUGAUGUGAAUGUCUCUGUAGGAGGCCGUACGGGGGUUCGGUCUUCUCCUGCAGACAAUGCAGAGACCUUGGACAUUCAUAAUCAGAGCUAUUUUGGAAAGAUCUCCCUCAGAAUACUCUGACAAGCAUUGUCCGUAUCACGGCCUUCUGUGCACAUGUGUUUCUUCCUAUACUGAUUUGUAAACUCGUUGCAAGUCAUGGCUGCAUUUGUCUUAGUUUUCCUUCCCUGUAACUUAAGUUUUCAAAAAAAUUUUUAUAGUUAAAUUAGGUUGGACUGAAUUGAGACCACAAAAUUCUAUGAAAUGAUGGAACUUUUAUGUAACAGGCAUAUUUAUAUUAAAGAUAUAUUUAAGACAAAUAAAAUACUAAUUUACAUGUUCUAUUGUGGAAUUUAAAUAAGCAUGUAUUCAUUCUAAUACCUCAUAUGCACAUGCUUUUUAGAACACCAUACUCAGGCAUUCAAAAACAACCUGAAUUUGAAGGUGUGUUCUCAUGUGAGGGUUAAUUUUAUGUGUCAACUUAACUGGGCCAUGAGAUGCCCAGAUAGCCGUUAAAACAUGAUUUCUGGGUGUGUCUGUGAGGGUGUUUCUGGAAGAGAUGAGCAUUUGAAUCAGUGGACUGAGUGAAGAUCAUGGGCUGGCCUCAUCCAAUCCUCUGCAGGCCUGAAUAGAGCAAAAGGUGGAGGAAGGUUGAAUUCCCUCUCUGCCUGAUGGUGGGGCUGGAACGCCAGUCUUCUCUUGCCCUUGGCUUUCUGGCUCUUUGGCCUUUGAACGAAGCCACUGGCUUUCCCGGAUCUCUGCCUUGCAGAUGACAGGCUGUGGGACAUUGCAGCUUUCACGAUCACGUGAACCAACACCUCACAGGAAAUCUCACUGGAGCUCUUUCUCCAGUCUUCAGACAGAAGGUUCUCUGUUAGGCACAAGAACAAGCUGUCCCAGCCUUGCUGUUUGUGCUGGAAAGGGCCUUAUUGGAGACGCUCCACGUUGCAGAAUCCACACUCCACGUUACAGAAUCCACACUCCACGUUACAGAGUCCACACUCCACGUUACAGAGUCCACACUCCACGUCAGAGUCCACACUCCACGUUACAGAGUCCACACUCCACGUUACAGAAACCACACUCCACGUUACAGAGUCCACACUCCACGUUAGAGUCCACACUCCACGUUACAGAGUCCACACUCCACGUUACAGAAUCCACACUCCACGUUACAGAGUCCACACUCCACGUUACAGAGUCCACACUCCACGUUACAGAUUCCACACUCCACGUUAGAGUCCACACUCCACGUUAGAGUCCACACUCCACGUUACAGAGUCCACACUCCACGUUACAGAGUCCACACUCCACGUUAGAGUCCACACUCCACGUUACAGAGUCCACACUCCACGUUAGAGUCCACACUCCACGUUAGAGUCCACACUCCACGUUACAGAGUCCACACUCCACGUUACAGAAUCCACACUCCACGUUACAGAGUCCACACUCCACGUUAGAGUCCACACUCCACGUUACAGAGUCCACACUCCACGUUAGAGUCCACACUCCACGUUACAGAGUCCACGCUCCACGUUACAGAAUCCACACUCCACGUUACAGAGUCCACACUCCACGUUACAGAGUCCACACUCCAUGUUACAGAAUCCACACUCCACGUUACAGAAUCCACGCUCCACGUUACAGAGUCCACACUCCACGUUAGAGUCCACACUCCACGUUACAGAGUCCACACUCCACGUUACAGAAUCCACACUCCAC